GCCUUAUUGAAAAUUGGUUUAAUCCAAAUGAGUUACUCUCUUUAAAUAAAGAUAUUAUUAUUAUUAGGUCUUUCCACUUUUCUGUGGAAAGACCUAUUGUUUUUCUUCUGAUUUUUUUUUUUUCUUCCGCCUAAUUUUGUUCUUGCGAUAAAUAUUUGUUUCGCAAUAUGUCACUUAGAUAUUUGGUAUAUGAUAUCGAACAGUUUAUGCGCUUUUGAAAUUUACCCUGCGUAACCGAAUACUUUUCUUUGUAGGAGUUAUCUCCCCAAGCACUGUUUUCCUUGUGUCCACUACUCCUUCGCAACCGUAAAAGAUUACGACAAAUUUAUUUUACAAAAUUGCUCGUUAUAUCCUUUGCAUGAUUUGUCCAAUUUUGACCGAAGCAAUAUGAACG
This 394-nucleotide long non-coding RNA is filed under the name Mytilus galloprovincialis (Mediterranean mussel). The record is from RNAcentral. Lineage: Eukaryota; Metazoa; Mollusca; Bivalvia; Mytilida; Mytilidae.